This is a non-coding RNA of Taeniopygia guttata (zebra finch), 10094 nucleotides long. The record is from RefSeq and is a predicted model, not a curated record. Lineage: Eukaryota; Metazoa; Chordata; Aves; Passeriformes; Estrildidae.
GCCGGGAGCUGCUGUGGCUGGAGGAAGAUGAAGGGGAUGGCCCGAGGUGACUUCUGCCUCCUGGCUGAGGGGACAAGGGGACAUGGCCGGGACAAACCCUGCGAGAGCCGCCUCUCUGUGUGGAUUUGAGUCUCCUCAGCGCUCUGGGAAACUGCGGGGGCAUAAAGGCUGGAAAGGGAGGUGCGGGGCCAUCCCCUCCCUCCUCCUCUCCCGGGGCAUCCCUCGGGGCUGUCCUGUGUCCCAGCCGGGCAGGGGGCACAGGGGUGUCCGUGUGUCCCUCCCUGCCUGCGGGGCAACGCGGGGGAUGUCCGCGCAUCCCCGCAGCGCUCCCUGCUCCGCAUCCCAGGGCCACCAUCCCUGCCCUCCGCCAGCCCCUCUGCACAACCCGACGGCCGGAGCCCUAGAAAGGAAAACGAGCGAUAUUCGGGGGCGUUUGGGAAAGUUGCAAGGUCAAGGCUCCCUCCCCCUGCUCACCCCCACCCUGCUCCAGGGGCGGCAUCCAUGGGGAAGGGGGGCUGCCCCCCAAACCCAGCGGGGUUUGCUCCUUUAGGUCGCUUUCCUGAGUUGCUGCCAACCCCCUCCGUGCGAGCUUGUUGCAAGAACAAACUGUUGUGAUUCCCCCUCCGGCCCUUUUUCCCCGCCUCCCCCCAUUCCGAACGGGGGGUGUCAGCGCACGGAGCCCGCCGUACCCCAUGUCGCUCCCGCGUCAGAAAAUGAAUGAUGCAGCAAUUUAAUUAGGAGGGAGCGCUGCGUCCAUAUUGCACCGCUGGAGGAGAGCUCGGCAGCCGGGGGAAGAUGCUGCGCGUCCGCGGGCGCGGAGGCUGCGCCCCUGCCCGCGCAGAGCGGCCCCGGGGCGGCGGGACCCCGCGGAGCCCCCCGCACCUCCCGCCCGCGCCCGCGGCUCUGCCCCCGAACUUUCCGCUCCCGAGCCGCGGUUCCAUUUUGUAAACAUCAACAAAUGAUGAAACCUUCCACGGCAGAGACGCUUCAUAAAGGAAGGAUGUUGUGGAUAAUUCUCCUAAGCACAAUUGCCCUAGCAUGGACUACACCUAUUCCCUUGAUAGAGGACUCGGAGGAACUGGAUGAGCCUUGCUUUGAUCCAUGCUACUGUGAAGUGAAGGAAAGCCUUUUCCAUAUACAUUGUGACAACAAGGGAUUUAUAAAUAUUAGUCAGAUAACAGAGUCGUGGUCGAGACCUUUUAAACUUUAUCUGCAGAGGAAUUCCAUGAGGAAAUUGUACACCAACAGUUUUCUUCACUUGAACAACGCUGUAUCUAUUAACCUUGGGAACAAUGCACUGCAGGACAUUCAGACAGGGGCUUUUAAUGGGCUCCGAGUUCUGAAGAGGUUGUAUUUGCACGAAAACAAAUUGGACAUUUUCAGGAACGACACUUUCCUGGGUUUGGAAAGUCUGGAAUAUCUGCAGGCAGAUUACAAUGUCAUUAAACGGAUUGAAAGCGGGGCAUUUCGAAACCUAAGUAAAUUGAGGGUCCUUAUCCUAAAUGACAAUCUUAUCCCCAUGCUUCCCACCAAUUUAUUUAAGUCCGUGUCCUUAACCCACUUGGACUUGCGGGGGAACCGCCUCAAAGUCCUUUCGUACCGCGGGAUGUUGGACCACAUUGGCAGGAGCCUGAUGGAGAUCCAGCUGGAGGAGAACCCGUGGAACUGUACGUGCGAGAUCGUGCAGCUCAAGAGCUGGCUGGAGCGCAUCCCCUACACCGCUCUGGUGGGGGACAUCACCUGCGAGACCCCCUUCCACUUCCAUGGGAAGGACCUGCGGGAAAUCAAGAGAAGCAAGCUCUGCCCCAUGCUGUCCGACUCCGAGGUGGAAGCCAGCCUGGGCAUCCCUCAGCUGUCCUCCAGCAAGGAGAACGCGUGGCCUACGAAGCCUUCCUCCAUGCUGUCCUCCUUCCAUUUCACCGCUUCCUCUGUUGAGUACAAAACGUCCAACAAGCAGCCCAAGCCCACCAAGCAGCCCAGGGCGCCCCGGCCUCCCCCAACCCCCCGUGGCCUGUACCCCGGGCCCAACCAACCGCCCGUGGCUGCCUACCAGACCCGGCCCCCCAUCCCCAUCAUCUGCCCCACCGGCUGCUCUUGCAGUUUGCACAUCAACGACCUGGGCCUGACGGUCAACUGCAAGGAGCGGGGAUUCCACAACAUCUCCGAGCUCCUGCCCAGGCCCUUGAACGCCAAGAAGCUGUACCUGAGCGGGAAUUUGAUCCAGAAAAUCUACCGCUCCGAUUUCUGGAAUUUUUCUUCCUUGGAUCUCUUACACCUGGGGAACAACCGGAUCUCCUACGUGCAGGACGGGGCGUUCAUCAACCUGCCGAACCUCAAGAGCCUGUACCUGAACGGGAACGACAUCGAGCGGCUCACCCCGGGCAUGUUCCGGGGCCUGCAGAGUUUGCAUUACCUGUACUUCGAGUACAACCUGAUCAGGGAAAUCCAGCCGGCGGCCUUCAGCCUCAUGCCCAACCUGAAGCUCCUCUUCCUCAACGACAACCUGCUCCGCACGCUUCCCACCGACGCCUUCGCCGGCACCUCCCUGGCGCGCCUCAACCUGCGCAACAACCACUUCUUGGCGCUGCCGGUGGCCGGGGUGCUGGAGCACCUGCACGCCAUCGUGCAGAUCGACCUGAAGCUCAACCCCUGGGACUGCACCUGCGAGCUGGUGCCUCUGAAGCAGUGGCUGGAGGCGCUCAGCUCCGUCAGCGUGGUGGGCGAGGUGCUGUGCGCCAGCCCCGAGCCGCUGGCCCGCCGCGACCUGCGCUCGCUGGAGCUGGCCGCGCUGUGCCCCGCCGCCCUGCGCCCCGCCGCCGCCGCCGCCGCCGCCUCGCCCCCCGCCGCCGCCGCCCCUCCGCCGCCCGCCGCCACCGGCGCGGCCGCCUACGAGCUGCCCCCGGGGGCCGCCGCGGCCGCGGCCGUGCCGCUCUCCGUGCUCAUCCUCAGCCUCCUCGUCCUCUUCUUCUCCGCCGUGCUGGUGGCCGCCGGGCUGUUCGCCUUCGUGCUGCGCCGCCGCCGGAGGAAGAUGCCGUUCCGCGGCCCGCGGGCGGAGGCGGCGGACAUGGGCGCGGUGCCGCUGCGCUGCCCGCGCCUCUUCCCCGAGGGCGGCGGCGGCGGCGGCGGCGGAGGAGGGGGCGGGGGGGGACCCGGGGAGCGGUCCCCGGAGAAGGCGCCCCCGGCGGGCCACGUCUACGACUACAUCCCGCACCCGGUGACCCAGAUGUGCAACAACCCCAUCUACAAGCCGCGGGAGGAAGAAGAAGCGGCGGGCGGCGGCGGCGAGGCGGCCGAGCUGCUGCGGGGCGGCGGCGAGCGCGGCUUCGCCCAUCCCGCAGCCCCCGCCGCCGCGCCGGAGCCGGUCAGCAGCUACCGCACCUUGCUGGAGAAGGAGCAGGAGUGGAGCUUGGCCGUGUCCAGCUCGCAGCUCAACACCAUCGUGGCCGUGCACCCCCAGCACCCCGCGGGCGGAGGGCUGGCGGCGGGCGCGCUCGGGGCGGCGGCGGCGGCGGCGGGGGGAGCCCCGCGGGACCGCGACCGCCCGCCGCCCUGCGCCGUGGGCUUCGUGGACUGCCUGUACGGCACCGUGCCCAAGCUGAAGGAACUGCACGUCCACCCCCCCGGCAUGCAAUACCCGGACCUGCAGCAGGACGCCAGGCUGAAGGAGACCCUGCUCUUCGCGGCCGGCAAGGGCUUCCCGGACCACCAAACCCCCACAAGCGAAUACCUCGAGUUAAGGGCCAAACUCCAAACCAAGCCGGAUUACCUCGAAGUCCUGGAGAAGACCACGUACCGGUUCUGACCGCCGCCCCGCUGCCCGCCCGGCCCCGCCGCCCGCGAGCAGAGGAUCCAGCUGUGCGCUCUGCCCCGCCAGAUGUGCGCGCUGCGGGGCAGGGCCCUUCUCAGAUCAGUAAUCGACGAAGUGCCUUCGCAGACUUUUGCCAGCAGAUGUUAAUCGAUCAUUAUUUUUUUAUACUGAAACUGAGACUUUGACUGUGCCAUGUCUAAAGGUGGAAAAGAACAGCAAGGCCAGGUAAGCCCCAGUGCCAGCCAACAACUGCACACAGGGAAAUGGAAAGGAUGAUCCUGGUGCUCAAUUAUUGGUGCUUUUUGUAUUUUCUGGACGUUGUCAUUGAUGUCACCACCACAUUGUACCCUAGUUUAAAAAUUCUUUUGGAAAUGGCUUCAUGGAUCUCUUGAGUGUAUCAACAGUGAUAGAACGAUGUCAAAUGUUAUGGGAUGAGUAAUAAUCUCAAUUUUGGAAAGCCUGUUGCCUACUGCUGUGAUUAGAGUGUUACUGGAAAGUGAGAAUCUCAUUCCUUAGGAGAUUCAGUGAGCAUGAGGUAAGCUGUGGCAGCUCCAGAUUUUGUCAGAGACCUUUCCAGACAAAACCACCUUUGAGUGUGGCAGCACAGCUGAUUUGGUUUUAAACCAGAAAUAUCUGGGUUUGUCCAACUUGUGUUCUCUGUGAGAACCUUGAGAGCACCAGGAGGGAAAGGUCUCUCCAAAGUGUGAGGCUGCUCUUCUGAAGCACUCGGGUGUGCCAAGUGCUCGAUGAUCUCUGUGCUGCUUCCAGCACCCACUCCACACCAAGAAGAUGCCACACUUGGGGUUGAGGUUUAACAGAAAUGUUCACGUGAAGAGCAGCGUGUAGAAAUGUAGAAUUUGGCCCUAAGUGUGGGAGUUCAUUGCUCAGGACAUUUCUUUACCAUGGGUGUGACUCCUGGCAGCGCUCCCGCCACUCCAGGGUGAACUUGUCCCAGGAUUGCCAUUCAUCCAAAGGCACUGGCUUUUACAACGUGGAUUUAUGGACACUGGGAAAUCAGUCUGCUGUGCACUGCAUAUUCCUAUUUUCUGGGUUUUUCCAAGGCUUGGUUUUCAAUCUGUAGCUGAGGCUCUCUGUGAAUUUAUGUAUGUAUGUAUUUGUGUGCACACAAUUAUGUAUUUAUGCUGUACACAGUACAACAGAGUUUUUUCUCCAUGGAAGAAAUGCAAAUCGACCCAGGAUGUAGCUCACAACAGCUCUUUGUGCAAAAAUUCCUAUUUUUUAAUUCUGAUGUGAAUGGAAAUAUUUUUUCCCAGUUCUUGAAAUAUUUCUGGUUUGAUCGGGAAGUGGAAGAAUUGGAAUGUGCUUGGAAAGAACCUUUGAGUGGGAAUGAGUAAAGGCCCAGUUCUGCUCCCUUGGAAUCCAAUGUUGAAACAUCACAUUAUGCUCAGUUUUAGUCAACAGACUUGAAUGAAGAGCAAAAUCUGAUCUCAGAAAAUUACAACAUCUAUUAAGUGGAUUCAAGUAUUUUGAGACAAGUACUCCAUGGGACUGUUUCAGAAUAAAAUGAGUAAUGGUACAGAGAAAAUGGGUUUGCCAUCAAUUCUAUAAUUCUCUGAUUGACCUCACUCACAAAUUAACCAAACAAUCUUUAAGGCUUUUGAUUUGAAAGACAAAUUUGUUUAGCUCUAAUGUCAUUGGUGACCAACUAGCCAAGAUUACUAAUGCAACAAUUGCAAAUUAUUUGGAAAUACUUUAUUAGGAUUAUCUUUUUCUUUGAGAGCAAGAAUUAUGAAGGUCCCUUCCAACCCAGGGCAUCUGUGUUUCUGUAGCUGACAGGCACUGACAACUGUGUUUCCUAGAACUUCUUUAAAAUGUCUUUUCCUUGUUCCUUACAGUUUCCCAGUUGUAAAAUUCUGUCAUUAUCUCAGUUUUGUUCAGGUUUUUGGGGCAGUUUGGCAGAUUUCUAUGAAAGCAUUGACUUUGCUCAGAGAGCAAAGCACAGAGUUCCCCAGGAGGGUGCUGGGGUGACACUUGCAGGUUAUUUUUGAUCCCUGUGGAAGUGUUUGGAAACACUUCCCUGUGGUGGCAUUUUCUCUGCUAAAUUGGUCAGUAAUUUGGUGUUUCUCAGGAUAGUGUCAGAUGGAUCAUUUUUGUGGGAAAAUGAGAGGAAAAGGCUGAAAAAGGAGAGCUGCAGGAAUGCUCUGUCCCACAUUCCUGCUGGGUGGUCUCUGUAGGGUGGGUGGUGCAUCAAUCCUGAUAUUUCUGAAUGUUAAGGGUGUGGAUCUGUUUGGUUUAUUUUAAUUAGAGGUGUGGACAUGCAAUAGUCAGCUUUAGGGUGCCUUAAAUAGAAGAACAGAUACUAGCAGAGGGCAGAGCAUAUAUGAAAUAUUCAUGACCAAGUCCUAUGUACUGUGUCCUGAAUCUUUAAUGUCCAUUUACUUUUCCUAACAUCUUUAUUUUUCCACUAGAAUUUUCUAAAUCUCUCAAGAAUAUCCUAUAUAUUCUGUGAAUCCUGAAGAGGUAUUUCAGGUUAGCCAAGGAAUGACUCUCUCUGUACUUGGGAAUUCCAACAAAUGCCACUGCCUGUGGAGGAAUAUCCUGCCCAUGGCAUGUGGCACAGCAAUUUGGCUGGUCCCUGGAGCAUGCUGCCAGGGAGGGAGGUUCUCUGCAGUGCUCAGAUUUUGCAGUAGGAAUUCCUGAAUUGUGAUAAAUCACUUUUUUGGAAUGGGAAAGACUUCAUUUGUGCUGCUGCUUCUGGUGGCACUGCCAUCCCUGCUGGCGGUGGUGGCACCCAGCACCAUUCCUGAGGAGGGGCUCCUGUGACAGAUACUCUGAAAACCAACCAAACAACCAAAACAAAAAACAAAAAACAAAACAAAAAAAAAAAAAAAAAAAAAAAAAAAAAAGAAGCUGAAGAAAGUUUUGGGCCUUUUUGACCUACAGGGACCUUAUCUGAAGUUAAGGACAUUCCCCAAAUAUUACAGUGGCAUUAAUAUACUAUUUAUAAGGGUUUUAUGCAUUUUUUUUCUUGCUUUCCUUUGCUGUUCCAGAGACAGUAGAUGGGUUACACCUUAAGGAAUUACAGGAAUGUAUUUGUUGAUCAUUUUUUCUGGCUGUACAUGUUUAAAACUAAGUCAGUUCCAGCUGUAACUGUCCUAAACUGAGUUUUAUAGAAAGAUACAUAAACCUUUGGUUCUCUACUUGGUCUCUAAAUUAUUUUAUGUGCUUAUAUAUAUAUAUAUAAAAUGUCCAUUAUCUAAAUAACCCUUGAACCAAAGUCUGUCUUUGAACUUUGGAGGCUUUGGCUUUGCAAAUCAAAGUUAAUUAAUGGGUUGGAUUGUGGGUUUGUUGUUUUUUAUUUUUUAUUAUUCUGUGAUUAUUUAGUUUGAUUUUAUCACUGGUAUGACCAGAGAUAGAGGAACAUAGCAGUGUGAAAAUUCUCAUAACAGCACUUCAAUUAUUGUGUUUCUUUGGAGAGUGAAGGAGCUCUGCUCCAAAGAGUGUAGGAACUGCUGCUCAGAGCUGAAAUAUCUUCCCUCUGCUGUGCCCUGGGAGUGCCCAGCACAGUCUGGCUCAAUGGCAAAUGCUAGAAAUGCCCAUUAGUGAGAUUUCAGGGUUGGAGGGGCCAGCCAAGCUGCUUCACCUGACAAAUCCAGUCCUUGUGGUCCUGCACUACUAGAGGCACCAGCCCCAUGUGUGCUGGGAGCAAUGAGAAAAUUCACAUUGCCCUGCUUUGGUGAAAAAUGAGCUUUACAAAAACCAGGCAUUGGUAAUGGAUGCUGGCCAGUUAAGUUUGUCUCUUUUAGGAUGCAAAUCCAGGUUUCUCUGGUGCUGUUAAACUGCCAUGCAAGGGCAGGACUGACCAGUUGUCCCCAAAGCACUGCUGGAAUAAAUCUGUAGCUAAAUGCAUUCUUCUUAAUCAGAGAGACAUUUCCUGUGGCAUCACUUCUGUUAUGUUUUCUUGCAGUGAUCCAAAAACCUGGCUGCUUUGGAAAGUGGAUAGUAUUGGCAAGCAAAGAAAUAUGGCAAGUAAAAAGUCUUUUUUAGAACCAGUUGAUGUCAGUGUUUUCUUCAAAAAAAAAGGGCAAGUGACAGCCCUGAGGGGUCCUGAGGAGGAGUCAAGGCACUUGUUAAGGCAGAGAGUAAUUGUUCAGUCCAUGCUUAAUUCUCCCCUUCAGUUUUAAACCAAUGAAGAGUUGUGGAUGGAUCCAGUUUAUGUAGAUAAAUACAUAUAUAUGUAUUCCUCCUGUUAGCAGUGGGGGGCUGUGACACUGCAGCCAGGGAGGCUGAUGGAAGGAAUGGCAAUGGUUAAGCUGUGACAAGUGGGAAUUUUGCCAAGGCUGGCAGUGAGAAUGGCACCUGAAAGUCAAAUGCCUCUCGCUGGCUUCGAGACAGCCAAUAACUACAUGAAAUUCCUGUUGCAAACCUUUGUUUUAGAGCAGGCAGCAAACAGCUCCCACACCUUAUUUUCCUGCUUUCAGCCCAAGCUCUCACCAUCCUGCAGGUGACUGCCAUCCCCAAAUUUUAUUUUACCUGUCUGCAUGCACAGAUCCCCCUUGGGCUGAGCACACACCCUGACCCCUCUGUUUGUGCAUGGGGUGGAGACCAGCUGAAAACACAAUUCUCUCUGUUGGGUUUUUCUGUAGAGUGGUGUAUUGCACCUCGAGAGCUCCCUGUGCCCCGCCUGGAGCGCCCUCAGCUCGCUGGCAGCCUGGCCAGCUUGGCCGUGGUGGUGUCCCAGGGUUUGCCAACCAGAGUCUGUCCAAGCCUUCAGAGCACAAAGCCCUGAUGAGAAGCAUCUCUAGCAGGUACGCAUCAGGGAGAAGGAGGAGACCUUCCUAAAAUUAGUUGCUGUCAGCUCCAAGCAGGAGCGGUGCCUCGUGUGUCACGGAAACGCUGAGUAUGUGCUGUGCGUACUGCGUGGAUAUCUGAGCGUGUACCUAUAAUUACACUAUUGAAGUGUAAAAUUCGAGCUUUGCAAACUUCUGGGAGGUUCAGGAACGUGGCUUGCUUUGGGCUGUAAUUAAAAUAUGGGCAUUUUGGUUUAAAAAUAGCUCCUUUCCGACCUACAUUCCCGAUGUAGGUCAGUGGAGGCACUUCUCAGACAUAUUAGCAUUUUGGACACUUAAUCUUAGCAGCAUAUUGCAUCUCCUAGAAUAGGUUAGGAGAGGCAAGGCAGGAGGAACUGCUGCAUCUCCAGUCACCCAGAGAGGUUGCCAAGUUUCUCAGGCACCAGAGAGGCAGAAUAAUGAGGAUUAUAUUUAAUUCUGGGCUGGAGAGACAACUGUGGGGUGUUGAGCAGAGGCAGCUCGGAUCAUCUUGGCUCUGUGGGGGAGGGAGAAUUUAUAACUCUAGCUGGCUCCAAAGCAAGCUGUGUGUGCAUUUGCGUGUGUAUGUAUAUUUAUAUAUAUGUAUAUACAAAUCUGGAUGUGUAUAUAACACCCUGUGUACAUAUGUAUGUAUGUAUGUAUAUGCCUACAGUGUACAAAAUGUGUAUCUAUAGAAAUGUAUACAUUUAUAUGAAUUUCUAUUUCUCUAUAUAAAUAGUCAUGCAACUAGGGGAAGUCACAUUUCCACGGCGUGACCUUUUCUGUAACACUCCCCCAAAAAGAAGCUGCUUCCAUUAAUGUCAUAUUGGCACAAAUGACUUAAAUUUUCUUUUCUGUUUCAAAAGGAGUGGUGCUUAGUGCCUGAGCACAAGCCUGGAAGGUUUUUACUCUUCCAGAGGACUUCCAGUAAAUCAUGAGUUGCUCCAGAGCUGUUUCACAUUUGUGAAAUAAAGUGGUGGCCAAAAUGACUCAGGGUUGGUUUUAUAGGCAAAGGAAAGGGGUUGUUGAGUGUGCAUUGGAAACCUCUGCCAUGUUCUCAGAGUUCUGAUGGUGAAAUACCUGCACUGCUAAUUACUCUGGCUGCUGUUAAUUUCCCAGCAACUGGCUUGAACAGGGAAAGAAAAAUUCCCUUCUCUAAAGUUACGUUAUCUGAAGUUUGAUUAUGUUGCCUCAGUGAUGUAUGGAUUUCCAUUUAGGGUCAGGAUGUUGGGCUGUAAAUCAAGAAUCUGAGCUCAGUGAACAUCUAGUUUGGGAUGUGUCUUUUCUGUUCUAAUUGAUUUAAAAUAAUUUCAAUUCAUCAUCAGAACAAGCUAUACCUUAAUUCAUGAUAAGCUCAAAGAAUUUCUCAUUCAUAUCAGGGUGAAUUUUGCACUUGACUUCGGUGGGGUUGAACGAGGUCAGAGCGUUUCAUUCAGCACUGGCAUAAAAAACAAUCUUGUAGUUGUGCAACUAUUAAUUCAAAUUGUAAUUUUGUAAUAAAAGCAGCCUAAAAAUGA